CCUACGGGUGGCAGCAGUGAGGAAUAUUGGUCAAUGGACGAGAGUCUGAACCAGCCAAGUAGCGUGAAGGAUGACUGCCCUAUGGGUUGUAAACUUCUUUUAUAUGGGAAUAAAAUGUUCCACGUGUGGGAUUUUGUAUGUACCAUAUGAAUAAGGAUCGGCUAACUCCGUGCCAGCAGCCGCGGUAAUACGGAGGAUCCGAGCGUUAUCCGGAUUUAUUGGGUUUAAAGGGAGCGUAGGUGGAUUGUUAAGUCAGUUGUGAAAGUUUGCGACUCAACCGUAAAAUUGCAGUUGAAACUGGCAGUCUUGAGUACAGUAGAGGUGAGCGGAAUUCGUGGUGUAGCGGUGAAAUGCUUAGAUAUCACGAAGAACUCCGAUUGCGAAGGCAGUUCACUGGACUGCAACUGACACUGAGGCUCGAAAGUGUGGGUAUCAAACAGGAUUAGAUACCCUUGUAGUC
This 460-nucleotide ribosomal RNA is filed under the name uncultured bacterium. Its description in RNAcentral is "partial 16S ribosomal RNA". It matches the Rfam family "Bacterial small subunit ribosomal RNA", at positions 338 to 795 of the family's 1533-position model. The record is from RNAcentral.